RNAcentral lists this ribosomal RNA (468 nucleotides) under uncultured bacterium. RNAcentral describes it as "partial 16S ribosomal RNA". It matches the Rfam family "Bacterial small subunit ribosomal RNA", at positions 28 to 507 of the family's 1533-position model. The record is from RNAcentral.
GACGAACGCUGGCGGCGUGCUUAACACAUGCAAGUCGAACGGAAAGGCCCUGCUUUUGUGGGGUGCUCGAUUGGCGAACGGGUGAGUAACACGUGAGUAACCUGCCCUUGACUUUGUGAUAACUUCAGGAAACUGGGGCUAAUACCGGAUAGGAGCUCCUGCUGCAUGGUGGGGGUUGGAAAGUUUCGGCGGUUGGGGAUGGACUCGCGGCUUAUCAGCUUGUUGGUGGGGUAGUGGCUUACCAAGGCUUUGACGGGUAGCCGGCCUGAGAGGGUGACCGGCCACAUUGGGACUGAGGUACGGCCCAGACUCCUACGGGAGGCAGCAGUGGGGAAUAUUGCACAAUGGGCGGAAGCCUGAUGCAGCAACGCCGCGUGCGGGAUGACGGCCUUCGGGUUGUAAACCGAUUUCGCCUGUGACGAAGCGUGAGUGACGGUAAUGGGUAAAGAAGCACCGGCUAACUACGUG